CCUACGGGCGGCAGCAGUGGGGAAUAUUGGACAAUGGGGGGAACCCUGAUCCAGCCAUGCCGCGUGUGUGAAGAAGGCCCUCGGGUUGUAAAGCACUUUCAGUGAGGAAGAACGCCUGGUGGUGAAUACCCAUCAGGAAAGACAUCACUCACAGAAGAAGCACCGGCUAACUCCGUGCCAGCAGCCGCGGUAAUACGGAGGGUGCGAGCGUUAAUCGGAAUUACUGGGCGUAAAGCGCGCGUAGGUGGCUUGAUAAGCCGGUUGUGAAAGCCCCGGGCUCAACCUGGGAACGGCAUCCGGAACUGUCAAGCUAGAGUGCAGGAGAGGAAGGUAGAAUUCCCGGUGUAGCGGUGAAAUGCGUAGAGAUCGGGAGGAAUACCAGUGGCGAAGGCGGCCUUCUGGACUGACACUGACACUGAGGUGCGAAAGCGUGGGUAGCAAACAGGAUUAGAUACCCUGGUAGUC
This 465-nucleotide ribosomal RNA is filed under the name Vreelandella stevensii. RNAcentral describes it as "partial 16S ribosomal RNA". It matches the Rfam family "Bacterial small subunit ribosomal RNA", at positions 338 to 795 of the family's 1533-position model. The record is from RNAcentral. Lineage: Bacteria; Pseudomonadati; Pseudomonadota; Gammaproteobacteria; Oceanospirillales; Halomonadaceae.